AGGACGAACGCUGGCGGCGUGCCUAACACAUGCAAGUCAACGGGGGUUACGAGAGCUUGCUCUUGUAACUUAGUGGCGAACGGGUGAGUAACGCGUGAGAAACCUGCCUCUCAGUGGGGGACAACAGUUGGAAACGACUGCUAAUACCGCAUAACACUUUAGUACCGCAUGGUACAGAAGUCAAAGCUUUAUGUGCUGAGAGAUGGUCUCGCGUCUGAUUAGCUAGUUGGUGAGGUAACGGCCCACCAAGGCGACGAUCAGUAGCCGGACUGAGAGGUUGACCGGCCACAUUGGGACUGAGAUACGGCCCAGACUCCUACGGGAGGCAGCAGUGGGGAAUAUCGGGCAAUGGACGCAAGUCUGACCCAGCAACGCCGCGUGAAGGAAGAAGGCUUUCGGGUUGUAAACUUCUUUUAAGGGGGGAAGAGCAGAAGACGGUACCCCUUGAAUAAGCCACGGCUAACUACGUG
Molecule: ribosomal RNA, 470 nt
Filed under: uncultured bacterium
Lineage: Bacteria
Description: bacterial SSU rRNA
Rfam family: Bacterial small subunit ribosomal RNA
Source: RNAcentral